UAGGGAAUCUUCCACAAUGGACGCAAGUCUGAUGGAGCAACGCCGCGUGAGUGAAGAAGGUCUUCGGAUCGUAAAGCUCUGUUGUUGGUGAAGAAGGAUAGAGGCAGUAACUGGUCUUUAUUUGACGGUAAUCAACCAGAAAGUCACGGCUAACUACGUGCCAGCAGCCGCGGUAAUACGUAGGUGGCAAGCGUUGUCCGGAUUUAUUGGGCGUAAAGCGAGCGCAGGCGGAAUGAUAAGUCUGAUGUGAAAGCCCACGGCUCAACCGUGGAACUGCAUCGGAAACUGUCAUUCUUGAGUGCAGAAGAGGAGAGUGGAACUCCAUGUGUAGCGGUGGAAUGCGUAGAUAUAUGGAAGAACACCAGUGGCGAAGGCGGUUCUCUGGUCUGCAACUGACGCUGAGGCUCGAAAGCAUGGGUAGCGAACAGGAUUAGAUACCCUGGUAGUCCAUGCCGUAAACGAUGAGCGCUAGGUGUUGG
Molecule: ribosomal RNA, 479 nt
Filed under: uncultured bacterium
Lineage: Bacteria
Description: partial 16S ribosomal RNA
Rfam family: Bacterial small subunit ribosomal RNA
Source: RNAcentral